Molecule: long non-coding RNA, 513 nt
Organism: Dreissena polymorpha
Lineage: Eukaryota; Metazoa; Mollusca; Bivalvia; Myida; Dreissenidae
Exons: 3
Source: RefSeq, a predicted model, not a curated record
GACAACAUCGUGCACGUUAAUUCUAUUCUUCUUUUGGACCACGUGUUCGGUUGGAUCAGGAAAACCAUGGUGGAAGUCAAAGACUCUACGUCCAACUCACAGGCCAUACAGAGGCAGUUCCAAUUAUUCAAAUUAUGGUGGCGCUGGUGUAGGCCGUUUCCAACCAUACCCACAGAGAGGCGGGCGACCUUUUCGAAGGGGUCUCUCAGGUGGCAGUUUUCGAGGACGAGGUGGAUACGGCCAAUCCCCAAGUGGAAAAUAGAUCGAUGACUUCCAAGACAUCGAGACAUCCUGACAUUACCACACAAUGGACAAGUUCACCCGUUGUCAAAGAGACUCGACUUGGUCGCGGCAGUUGUAUCGGGGAGGCCCUCCGUUGUAGAGGACUUUCAUCAGAGACUACAACCAUCAUCUUGGCUGCCUGGAGAAGAGGAACUCUCAAACAGUAUGAUUCUGCAUGGCGGAAGUGGAUGUCUUGGUGUAUGUGCAGGGAAACUUCUCCCUUUAACUCAU